This 532-nucleotide ribosomal RNA is filed under the name uncultured bacterium. Its description in RNAcentral is "bacterial SSU rRNA". It matches the Rfam family "Bacterial small subunit ribosomal RNA", at positions 777 to 1317 of the family's 1533-position model. The record is from RNAcentral.
AAUAGAUACCCCGGUAGUCCACGCCGUAAACGAUGGAUACUAGCUGUUUGGAGCAAUCUGAGUGGCUAGGCGAAAGUGAUAAGUAUCCCACCUGGGGAGUACGCACGCAAGUGUGAAACUCAAAGGAAUUGACGGGGGCCCGCACAAGCGGAGGAGCAUGUGGUUUAAUUCGAUGAUACGCGAGGAACCUUACCAGGGCUUAAAUGGGAGACGACAGUUUGGGAAACCAGACUUUCUUCGGACGUCUUUCAAGGUGCUGCAUGGUUGUCGUCAGCUCGUGCCGUGAGGUGUCAGGUUAAGUCCUAUAACGAGCGCAACCCCUAUUGUUAGUUGCCAGCGGGUCAUGCCGGGAACUCUAACAAGACUGCCGGUGCAAACCGUGAGGAAGGUGGGGAUGACGUCAAAUCAUCACGGCCCUUACGUCCUGGGCUACACACGUGCUACAAUGGACGGUACAGAGAGCAGCCACUGCGCAAGCAGGAGCGAAUCUAUAAAGCCGUUCUCAGUUCGGAUCGGAGUCUGCAACUCGACG